UUUGUGUCUCCGUCUCGUGGCUCGCCUACUUCGCCUCGAUUU
RNAcentral lists this ribosomal RNA (42 nucleotides) under Verticillium dahliae. RNAcentral describes it as "partial 28S ribosomal RNA". Lineage: Eukaryota; Fungi; Ascomycota; Sordariomycetes; Glomerellales; Plectosphaerellaceae. The record is from RNAcentral.